Patiria miniata (bat star) is the source of this 198-nucleotide long non-coding RNA. RefSeq lists it as uncharacterized. The record is from RefSeq and is a predicted model, not a curated record. Lineage: Eukaryota; Metazoa; Echinodermata; Asteroidea; Valvatida; Asterinidae. The transcript has 3 exons.
UACCACUUCGCCGAAAGUAUUUGCUAACACAUUAUGCUCGCAUGCACAAACUCAUGUACGUGCGUUUGCGUGCAAUUCGGCGAAGUGGUCAUUCAGCGAAGUGGUAAUUCGACGGAGUGGCAAGUAGGCGAAGUGGUUAUUCGGUGAAGUAGCAAAUCGUUGAAGUGGUUGUCGACAAAGAGAUGGAUGGUGACUGUU